CAACCACGUGAUCAGUAAAAAUUGUGUAUUUUCACGUGAAUUCAUUUUCCGGAAUUCCUUACUCCGUCAUAGAAUAGUCGAAAAACAAAAAGGGGUUCCGAAAGUGUUUGUUGCUGUGACUGACUCGCCUAGAGAAAAUAUGCACGUACCACAUAAGUAUACGUCAAUAUCUGUAAUAAUGGUAGAUGAAAUGUUUCAUCUGUGUGAAACUUUUUGCUAAUCGAAAUGUUAAACCAACCACCAAUCCAUGUACAUAGAUGCGCUACGUAAACAAAGUUGUUGGUUGAUACAUCGUAAUGUCCGAGUGCAGCAUGCUGCGAGAUUAAAUACUGUUUAUACAGUCAUUGAGAGGCUUAACAAAGUUUCUUGCAAGAAGAGGAAGUUGGUGGAUGCAUUCAACUUGGACAACGAAAUCAUAGUUUCGUUUGGCAUCAGUCUGAGGACCAAGGGAGGUUAGAUAGGACCAGUGCAGGUUGAUGUGGAUUUCGAGUCAACAAGUAUAACAGCAAGAGAGGUACUCCAUUUACAGUGAUGAUGACAUAUCCCCUGGACCCCCACAACUCCACAAAUUUAAAAAUGUUUGAUCAAGUUCCGAAGAUUAAAGAACUACUGCAAAAUUUGGGACUUGGAUGAAAAACGUUAAUUCACUUAUAUGAGCUCAGAGCAGUGGAUGUUGUACAACAUACUUUAAACUAAAUUGUGAAUUUGAGGGAAAACAAGUACAUGUACUCGUGUAUUACAUGUACAUGCCUUUUGAAAGACAAUAAUAUUGCAUAGAUGUAAAGGAAAUUUCAAUGUUGAUUAUUCUUUCUUAGAUAUAUUAGUAAAAAAUGUGCACAUGAUAGAAUAUCAAUUUUAUAACUUCAAUCAAUGUGUUUGAAUUUUCCUUGUAAUUCAAAAUUUAGUUGAAACAUACAUCAUUGAUACAUUAAUGUAUAUAAAAUUUUUAUAAAAGUUUCAUAAUGGAACUAAUUCACCCCCCCCCCUUAUACAUACAGUGAACAUAGACCUUCACCUGGGGAAAUCUACUGUUAGUUAAUGCAAUAUACAUGUACAUGCAUUCUCAGUUAUCCAAUAGUGAGUUUUUGGUUCAUUGUGAAACUACAAUUAAAAAUCUUAAACUUAUGAAAGACACACUUAUCUGUGAGGGAAAGAUGACUCAGAUGGACUUACAUGUAGUGAUCCAUGGACAGUCCAUGGGUCUCUUUCCAUUGAUAUUAAUUAUUUAUUGAAAUAUGAAAUGGUUAUUUAAACAUAUUUGGUGUAUUAUACUGUAUAGUGAUAUAAAUUUCUAUAAAAAAAAAUAUGUACAAGUAAUAGAUUUGGUCCAGUUAUUACAAGAAAUUGUGUGAAAAAUAACUAAAUAUUUAGGCAAUCAUUGCGAGUGCAAAAAGGUCAACUGCAAUAGCACACACUAUAUAUCAUUCUUAAAUGGCUCAUAGAAACUUCUAGUAUUGUGAAUUUGAAUGCUCAAUGUGGCAAUUUGGGAAUGCUUAAUCAUUUAAGGUCAAUAGUUUAUCUCUGCUGACUGUAUCUCUUAAAAUUCAUUUCUAGAAGGGAGGGGGUAGGGUUACAAAAUCUGACAUAGUUUCAGAUUAAACCUCAUUUGGUAUAUUUUUUUCCAUUCAAUAUUUUAGAUACUACUUGACUUAUUGUAAAAAUGAAAUAAAAUCAGAAAUUUUA
Molecule: long non-coding RNA, 1683 nt
Organism: Ostrea edulis (European flat oyster)
Lineage: Eukaryota; Metazoa; Mollusca; Bivalvia; Ostreida; Ostreidae
Exons: 3
Source: RefSeq, a predicted model, not a curated record